This 245-nucleotide long non-coding RNA is filed under the name Lathyrus oleraceus (garden pea). Its description in RNAcentral is "Pisum sativum (pea) long non-coding RNA (PSAT_LNC006000)". Lineage: Eukaryota; Viridiplantae; Streptophyta; Magnoliopsida; Fabales; Fabaceae. The record is from RNAcentral.
AAACGACGGGAUUCGUAAAUAAUUGGUGUUAGUUUUUAUAAAACUUAUUUUUCCAGUUUUUAGUUUCUUAUUUUAAUCAAACUGUUUUUUGUACGAGAGUACAAAACAAACUAAGGUUACGUCAACAAGAAUGAGAGUUUGAGAUUUUAACCAGAUAGCUGAAACUAGGCAUUAAUCCUAAACACAACGAGAGCGCUUUAGGUUUAAUUAGACUUUAUUCAUUCUCAAAAAUUACUUUUAAAUUC